Molecule: small RNA, 283 nt
Filed under: Oxalobacteraceae bacterium IMCC9480
Lineage: Bacteria; Pseudomonadati; Pseudomonadota; Betaproteobacteria; Burkholderiales; Oxalobacteraceae
Description: 5' ureB small RNA
Rfam family: 5' ureB small RNA
Source: Rfam by way of RNAcentral
CGUCAUCGAUCUGUUGCGGACAAAUGAAAUGGAUGUGCGAAUCGACCCCGCCGGCAGUGACGAUCAUGCCUUCGCCGGCGAUGAUCUCGGUCGCGCCACCGAUGGCCAUCGUGACGUUCGGCUGGAUGUCCGCAUUGCCGGCCUUGCCGAUGGCGGCGAUGCGGCCGUUCUUCAGGCCAAUGUCGGCCUUGACGAUGCCCCAGUGGUCGAUGAUGACGGCGUUGGUGAUGACGGUGUCCAUCACGUCAGCAUGAUUGCGCUGCGACUGGCCCAUGCCGUCGCG